AUUGAACGCUGGCGGCAGGCCUAACACAUGCAAGUCGAGCGGAUGAAGGGAGCUUGCUCCUGGAUUCAGCGGCGGACGGGUGAGUAAUGCCUAGGAAUCUGCCUGGUAGUGGGGGAUAACGUCCGGAAACGGGCGCUAAUACCGCAUACGUCCUGAGGGAGAAAGUGGGGGAUCUUCGGACCUCACGCUAUCAGAUGAGCCUAGGUCGGAUUAGCUAGUUGGUGGGGUAAAGGCCUACCAAGGCAACGAUCCGUAACUGGUCUGAGAGGAUGAUCAGUCACACUGGAACUUAGACACGGUCCAGACUCCUACGGGAGGCAGCAGUGUGGAAUAUUAGACAAUGGGCGAAAGCCUGAUACAGCCAUGCCGCGUGUGUGAAGAAAGUCUUCGGAUUGUAAAGCACUUUAAGUUUGGAGGAAGGGCAGUAAGUUAAUACCUUGCUGUUUUGACGUUACCAACAGAAUAAGCACCGGCUAACUUCGUG
RNAcentral lists this ribosomal RNA (484 nucleotides) under uncultured bacterium. Its description in RNAcentral is "partial 16S ribosomal RNA". It matches the Rfam family "Bacterial small subunit ribosomal RNA", at positions 30 to 507 of the family's 1533-position model. The record is from RNAcentral.